Molecule: ribosomal RNA, 598 nt
Filed under: Rhodotorula mucilaginosa
Lineage: Eukaryota; Fungi; Basidiomycota; Microbotryomycetes; Sporidiobolales; Sporidiobolaceae
Description: eukaryotic LSU rRNA
Rfam family: Eukaryotic large subunit ribosomal RNA
Source: RNAcentral
AUCAAUAAGCGGAGGAAAAGAAACUAACAAGGAUUCCCCUAGUAGCGGCGAGCGAAGCGGGAAGAGCUCAAAUUUAUAAUCUGGCACCUUCGGUGUCCGAGUUGUAAUCUCUAGAAAUGUUUUCCGCGUUGGACCGCACACAAGUCUGUUGGAAUACAGCGGCAUAGUGGUGAGACCCCCGUAUAUGGUGCGGACGCCCAGCGCUUUGUGAUACAUUUUCGAAGAGUCGAGUUGUUUGGGAAUGCAGCUCAAAUUGGGUGGUAAAUUCCAUCUAAAGCUAAAUAUUGGCGAGAGACCGAUAGCGAACAAGUACCGUGAGGGAAAGAUGAAAAGCACUUUGGAAAGAGAGUUAACAGUACGUGAAAUUGUUGGAAGGGAAACGCUUGAAGUCAGACUUGCUUGCCGAGCAAUCGGUUUGCAGGCCAGCAUCAGUUUUCCGGGAUGGAUAAUGGUAGAGAGAAGGUAGCAGUUUCGGCUGUGUUAUAGCUCUCUGCUGGAUACAUCUUGGGGGACUGAGGAACGCAGUGUGCCUUUGGCGGGGGUUUCGACCUCUUCACACUUAGGAUGCUGGUGGAAUGGCUUUAAACGACCCGUCUUG